AUUGCCUCAGUUAACGGCGAAGUGAAGCGGCAACAGCUCAAAUUUGAAAUCUGGCCCUCUCAGGGUCCGAGUUGUAAUUUGGAGAAGAUGCUUCGGGUGUGGCCCCGGUCUAAGUUCCUUGGAACAGGACGUCACAGAGGGUGAGAAUCCCGUACGUGGCCGGUGGCCGCGCCCAUGUGAAGCUCUUUCGACGAGUCGAGUUGUUUGGGAAUGCAGCUCAAAAUGGGUGGUAUAUUUCAUCUAAAGCUAAAUAUUGGCCAGAGACCGAUAGCGCACAAGUAGAGUGAUCGAAAGAUGAAAAGCACUUUGGAAAGAGAGUUAAACAGUACGUGAAAUUGUUGAAAGGGAAGCGCUUGCAACCAGACUUGCGCGCGGCCGAUCAUCCGGUGCUCGCACCGGUGCACUCGACCGCGCGCAGGCCAGCAUCGGUUUGGGCGGUUGGAUAAAGGCCCCAGGAAUGUGGCUCUCUUCGGGGAGUGUUAUAGCCUGGGGCGCAAUGCAGCCCGCCCGGACCGAGGACCGCGCUUCGGCUAGGAUGCUGGCGUAAUGGUUGUCAGCGACCCGUCUUGAAACACGGACCAAGGAGUCUAACAUCUAUGCGAGUGUUUGGGUGCUAAACCCAUACGCGUAAUGAAAGUGAACGGAGGUGAGAACCCUUAAGGGUGCAUCAUCGACCGAUCCUGAUGUCUUCGGAUGGAUUUGAGUAAGAGCAUAGCUGUUGGGACCCGAAAGAUGGUGAACUAUGCCUGAAUAGGGUGAAGCCAGAGGAAACUCUGGUGGAGGCUCGCAGCGGUUUCUGACGUGCAAAUCGAUCGUCAAAUUUGGGCAUAGGGGCGAAAGACUAAUCGAACCAUCU
This 856-nucleotide ribosomal RNA is filed under the name Myxotrichum deflexum. RNAcentral describes it as "LSU rRNA". It matches the Rfam family "Eukaryotic large subunit ribosomal RNA", at positions 74 to 945 of the family's 3401-position model. The record is from RNAcentral. Lineage: Eukaryota; Fungi; Ascomycota; Leotiomycetes; Myxotrichaceae.